This 233-nucleotide ribosomal RNA is filed under the name uncultured bacterium. Its description in RNAcentral is "partial 16S ribosomal RNA". It matches the Rfam family "Bacterial small subunit ribosomal RNA", at positions 100 to 334 of the family's 1533-position model. The record is from RNAcentral.
CGGGACGGGUGAGUAAUGUAUGGGGAUCUGCCCGAUGGAGGGGGAUAACUACUGGAAACGGUAGCUAAUACCGCAUAACGUCGCAAGACCAAAGAGGGGGACCUUCGGGCCUCUUGCCAUCGGAUGUGCCCAGAUGGGAUUAGCUAGUAGGUGGGGUAACGGCUCACCUAGGCGACGAUCCCUAGCUGGUCUGAGAGGAUGACCAGCCACACUGGAACUGAGACACGGUCCAG